CGAACGGGUGAGUAACGCGUGAGGAACCUGCCUCAAAGAGGGGGACAACAGUUGGAAACGACUGCUAAUACCGCAUAAGCCCACGGCUCGGCAUCGAGCAGGGGGAAAAGGAGUGAUCCGCUUUGAGAUGGCCUCGCGUCCGAUUAGCUAGUUGGUGAGGUAACGGCCCACCAAGGCGACGAUCGGUAGCCGGACUGAGAGGUUGAACGGCCACAUUGGGACUGAGACACGGCCCAG
RNAcentral lists this ribosomal RNA (237 nucleotides) under uncultured bacterium. RNAcentral's name for it is "partial 16S ribosomal RNA". It matches the Rfam family "Bacterial small subunit ribosomal RNA", at positions 99 to 334 of the family's 1533-position model. The record is from RNAcentral.